Molecule: long non-coding RNA, 1515 nt
Organism: Felis catus (domestic cat)
Lineage: Eukaryota; Metazoa; Chordata; Mammalia; Carnivora; Felidae
Exons: 5
Source: RefSeq, a predicted model, not a curated record
UCUUAAGUAGGCUCCACGCAGAGCCCGACUCGGAGCUCGAUCCCACCACCCUGGGAUCAUGACCUAAGCCAAGAUCAAGAGUUGGACGCUCGACUGUCUGAGCCACCCAGGCACCCCCAUUGUUUGCAUUUUGAUGAACAUUAUUACUUUGCACAUAGAUUUAUAUAUAGAUUGUUGUGGAUUUAUACAGUUUUCCGUAAAUGGAUUGUAUGGCACAUAUUAUAUAUGUUAUUCUGUAAUCAUUUCUCCCUCAACACUAUCUUCACUGGUAGAAAUGUUUCUAAGCAGAUAUGUUUUCUGAAGACUGUGGACAACUAUUUUGACCUCUUUUGAUUUUGGAGGCUCUUUUAGAAACAGGUGUGAACCUCCAUGCCCAGGCUUCAGAAAGCCAAGAACACUGAGAAGAAUGACACUAACAAAUGUUGGACAGAGGGGCAAAGAGGGGCAAAGAUGACCGCCUGUUUCUUUAUAGAAAUGUAAAAUGUAACCAUCAGCAUAAACUGUAGCAAGGCUGGACUCUUACUCCAACACGACUGGUAUCCUUACAAGAAGAGACACAUACACAGAGAACACUAUGUGAGGGCACAGAGAUGCAGAAAAGAUGGCCAUUGGAGUCAUGUACCUACAGCCGAGGUCCCCAAGGAUCAUGGACAACCACUGGGAGCUGACAGGCAGGGAACGAUCAAAUUCUUCCCUAAAGCCUACCGCAAGGAGCCAGCCCCGCCAACACCUUGACUUUGGUCUUCGAGCUACCAGGGCUUUGCCUGCCUGCCCUUUUUGUGUUUAUCUUGUUAAGUACUGACAGGCUUAAAAUAUAGACCCCUAGAGGGCAAGAUUCAUAUCUAUAUGGAGUGUGCUGCAGAACAUACACUCAUGCCUCAUACCCUUCUGCACAAAUUAUUUUUGACGACACCCUGUGCCUUUCUGACUUUAUAAUCUUGAGUAACUUGAGCUACGUGACUCCUGGGGUUUUUUUCACCACCGCGGUCUCAGAGCUCCAAAAUUUGGAUCGGAGACAUGGAAACACCUUUGGAAAACCUUUAUGUGAAACAGGAAGCACAAUUCAAAGUUUAUGCUCUGGCUGUUGGGAGAAAUGGAAGCGAACGGGAGCUGGGAAGCCAGACCACGCAGCGGUAGGCUUCCACCCGAGGACGGAAGGGAAUCCUAAUGGGAAAGUGCCUAGUGUGUCCGGCCUAGCGGCGAUGCUCCCGAAGUGAUCGCUCGUCCCAAGCCGUCUGCCAAGGCUUCUCGGGUCCUGAAUUCUCCCCCAGUUCACGUGUGCUGAUCGACAGUGAAUGGAAAGGAGAGCACAGAGGAGUUGCCGCCCCAAGCGAAGAAAAAGUCCCGGAGCCCGCAUUUGCCACUACGCUUUCCGAGCAAGCGCUCGUCCCCCAUUGCUCAUUCUAGCCCCGUUUCCCCUUGACCCUGUAAACGCAUCGGGAGCUGGCCCAGAAACCCUCCGAUUUGCGCGCAUCGCAACACGCUGCACGUUACAAUCAAGUUGUUGGGUUUUUA